GACGAACGCUGGCGGCGUGCUUAACACAUGCAAGUCGAACGGAAAGGCCCUGCUUUUGUGGGGUGCUCGAGUGGCGAACGGGUGAGUAACACGUGAGUAACCUGCCCUUGACUUUGGGAUAACUUCAGGAAACUGGGGCUAAUACCGGAUAGGAGCUCCUGCUGCAUGGUGGGGGUUGGAAAGUUUCGGCGGUUGGGGAUGGACUCGCGGCUUAUCAGCUUGUUGGUGGGGUAGUGGCUUACCAAGGCUUUGACGGGUAGCCGGCCUGAGAGGGUGACCGGCCACAUUGGGACUGAGGUGCGGGCCAGAGUCCUACGGGAGGCAGGAGUGGGAAACAUUGCACAAUGGGCGGAAGCCGGAUGCAGCAACGCCGCGUGCGGGAGGACGGCCGUCGGGUUGUAAACCGCUUUCGCCUGUGACGAAGCGUGAGUGACGGUAAUGGGUAAAGAAGCACCGGCUAACUACGUG
RNAcentral lists this ribosomal RNA (468 nucleotides) under uncultured bacterium. RNAcentral describes it as "partial 16S ribosomal RNA". It matches the Rfam family "Bacterial small subunit ribosomal RNA", at positions 28 to 507 of the family's 1533-position model. The record is from RNAcentral.